Molecule: long non-coding RNA, 33703 nt
Organism: Lycium barbarum (goji berry)
Lineage: Eukaryota; Viridiplantae; Streptophyta; Magnoliopsida; Solanales; Solanaceae
Exons: 2
Source: RefSeq, a predicted model, not a curated record
GUUUGUUUUGGUUUCUUGUUUCUCUCUGUAUUGUGGGUUUCAAUCCUUUGAUUUGAGAAUUUGAGUUCCGCCUAUAUAUUUGGAUUUGAGAAUUAGAGAAUUGUUUGUUGAUAUCUUCUUGCAGCCUUUGUAAAAUAUGUGAGAUGUGAGACUUACUUUCUUAGUUUUCGUGGAGUAGUAUUAGAUCGAUUCAAUUCAAGAUUUUGAAAGAACAAAUUUGGAUUGAAAAAGUUUUGAUCAAUUCCAUGGAAUAUUAGAGAUAGUUUGUUGAUAUAUCUUUGUGGGUGUUCGCAGCGUUUGAUCAAUAUCUGAAUGAUUUUAUUACAGAGAUAGCUUGAUGAUUAAUAUCUGCUAGAUUGAUCGGUUUGGUUUUGUUUCUUGGCCUACCCUUUUCUUGAUUUCCAAUUCUCUGUAUAAUAAAUAUAGCUUUGUGGGUUUCAAUCCGUUUUGCUGUUAGAUUUGGUGCUCUUUCGCUUGAGAAUUACAGAUUGUUUUUUGAUAUCUCGUGGGUAUUUCUUUUCCAAUUUGUUGAUUAGUGAUGUUGUUUGUAUGUUGCCAAUGUUUGAUUAGGUCUGGGUAGGAGUGCCUUACAGUUGAUUUCAUGAUUGUUCUUCUAUUUCUUGAAGGUGGAUGAUUUCUUCUCAUGGAAUUGCAAACUAGUACCUUCACCCACUGCCCCUCAAAAUAGCCUUGGAGGAAUUCUCUUUUUUCCUCUUCUUGCUACAGUUACCUUGGUCUCAAUGUUCAUAUCCUUGCUUUCCUUCCUUGUGUGUGGUUUAUUUAUUUAUUUAUUUAUUUUGUUCUUAUCCUUGACCCUUUUCUUGUGUAUUACAGCGUAUCUGAGUUCCUAAUUGCACUUCUUUGAUUGAUUUUCAAUGUUAAGAAAUUCAAGGCUGGUGAGGUCCAUUCUUGAUGCAAUUUUUGAGGGAAUCAAGCUUGGCCUCAGGUUUUUGGAGAUUCUGAGGUUUUUGUUGUGAGAUUCCUCUACGCUAUGAGUUCUGUGUUUAUGUUUCCCCUUGAUGAUUGGAGAUGAUGAUGCUACGUUUGCUAUCAGGUUCCAGUUAUGGAUAUAGGGUUUAUUCUGUAUUUCUGAUUUAUGUGACCUUGUUUUGGUGUUUGAGGUCGGGAAGUUGCAGCAGUUCCCAGGUCUUGGGCAAUAGGUAUCGGAUGUUUCGGUCUCUCAAAGCCUUGUCAAAACUGUUGCUAUGUGGAAGUUCUCAACUAAGAUAAGUGCGGUCUGCCAUUUCUAGUUUUUAGUUCAGAUGCUUGCUUUUUUGAUGAUCUGACUGAUGAGGUCUCUUAUGGUUAUGGACACCUGUUAACUACUUAAAGUGCUCAGUCAGUCCUGGAUCUUUGAUAGCGCCGUGAUGUGCUCCUCUCCCAUACUUCUGAGUUUCUAGCCUACUUAUUUUCUCUCUGCUUCUGUUUUCUUUUGGUUAUCACACCAGCUUGAUUUUGUUUGUUGGAUGAAUGUGUAGACCACAUAGUGACAGAAGGAUUAGAUUUGGAUAAUUCAAAUGUUGGUACCCAGUAUGCGUUCAUGUACACCCUAUUUCUUGGUCAUUUUCGUGCUUGCACUGCAAUCUGGAUAUGGCUUCGACCAAAAGGGGGUUUCGAAUCUAGUCUCUGGCAUCUUUUCGAGUGAUUUCUUAGGUGGUAUGGGUUUCAUCAGCUUUGCACCUAACUGUUCCUUUUCUUUCUGUGCUGGCAGCAGCCAUUGGGUCCUACAGAGCCGUGAAGUAUUCUUUUCAUGGAGCAGCUUUGUUUAUCUAUUUAUGUUGAGGUUUCUUUAGUUCAGGCUUUUAUGAUAACGGAAAUUUUCAUUUGUCAACUAAGAUGGUUAUUCUCACCAGUGUUUCUUGUAUUCUGCUGCCAUUUUUAGUAUUUAGUCCAGAUGUUUACGUUCUUCGACCAUCCAUGAUCCAACUGAUAAGGCCUGGUGGUUGAUGGUUAUGGACACCUGAUUAAGUGCUCAAAGUCAGUUCUGGAUAUUUCUGUAGCCCCGUAAAGUGCUCCUCUCUCUUGGUGUUCUAGCUGCUUAUUUUCUCUGCUUCUGUUUUCUUCUGUGUAUCACGCAACCUUGAUAUUGUUUGUUGGAUGGAUGUGCGGUCACAGUUAAGAGGAUUAGACUUGGAAAUUUCAAAGGUUGGUGUCCGGUUUGCAUUCCUGUGCACCCUGUUUUUUGCCAUUUUGGUGCUUGUACUCCAAUGUGGAUAUUAUGUAGGCUUCGACAAAAAAGGGGGUUUUCAGUCUUGUCUCUUGCUUCUCUAGUGAUGUCUGAGGUGGUAUGGGUUUUGUCAGUGUUGCACUUAAUUGUUCCCUUCUUUCUGUGCUUGCAGCAGUUGGUCUGACAGAACAGUGAAUCACUCUUUUCAUGGAGCGGCCUUGCUCUAAUAAUAUUGAGACCGUUUGGUGUUCUGAUUUACAUGAUUCUCUUGAGAGUUAGAGGUGUUCGCAGCGUUUUAUCAAUAUAAGAUUAGGUGAUUGCCUUCUUUUGGGAAUUACUAAUUUGUCCUGUGGACUGUAUCUGUUUGGUUCUGAAUUCUUGGCCAUCAGUUAUAUUGACCUAACACUACCCUUUUCUUGCGUAUCUUGAUUUCUUUCGAUGAGCAGUUUAUUUGUUUCAUUGUGUAGGUCCGUUUUGAUGUUAGAUUUGGUGCUCUUUUCACUUGGGAAUUAGAGAUUGUUGAUAUCUCAUGGGUAUUCACAGUGUUUAAUCAAGAAGAUCUAAGAUAAUUAUUAGAUGAUUCAGAUUUAUAUGAAUUAGAGAAUUAGUGUUUGUUUGUAUUCUGCUGCCAUUUUCAGUUUUUUAGUACAGAUGCUUAUGUUCUUUGACCAUCCAACUGAUGAGGCCCUGGUGAUUGAUGGUUAUGGACACCUGAUUAAGUACUUGAAGUCAGUUCUGGAUAUUUCGAUAGCCCCAUAAGUGCGCCUCUUUUUGGUGUUCUCGCUGCUUAUUUUCUCUGCUGCCGUUUCUUCUGUUUAUCACACAAGCUUGAUUUUGUUUGUUGGAUGGAUGUGUGGUAACAGUUUAAGAGGAUUAGAUUUGGAAAUUUCAAAGGUUGGUGUCCAGUAUGCGUUUGUGUGCACCCUAAUUCUUGCCAUUUUGGUGCUUGCUCUACCAUCUGGAUAUUGUCUUUGCUGCGACAAAAAGGGUGUUUUGAAUCUUGUCUCUGGCAUUUUUCCUAGUGAUUUCUUAGGUAGUAUGGGUUACAUCAGCUUUGCACUUAACUCUUCCCUUCUUUCUGUGCUUGCAGCCAUUGAGUCUUACAGAGCCAUGAAUUGUUCUUUUCAUGGAGCGGCCUUGUUUGUCCAUUUGUGCUGAGGUUUCUUUAGUUCAGGCUUUUAUGAGUACAUAAAUUUUCAUUUCUCAUCUAAAAUAGUUUUUUUCGCUGAUGUUGUUGUAUUCUGCUGCCAUCUUAGUUUUUAGUCCAGAUGCUUAUGUUCUUUGACCAUCCUACUGAUGAGGCCCUGGCGGUUGAUGGAUGUUGACACCUGAUUAAGUUCUAAACUCAGUUCCGGAUAUUUCGUUAGCCCCGUAAAGUGCUCCUCUGUUCUGGUUUUCUCGCUACUUAUUUUCUCUGUUUCCGUUCUCUUCUGUGAAAUCAUGCAGCUUGAUUUUGUUUCUUGGAUGGAUGUCUGGUAACAGUUAAGAAAAUUAGAUGGGAAAUUUCAGAGGUUGGUAUCGAGUAUGCGUCUCUGAGCACCCCGUUUCUUGCCAUUUUGGUGCUUGCACUACAAUCCGGAUAUUGUCUUGCUGCGACAGAAAGGGGGUUUCGAAUCUUGUCUCUGGCAUUUUUCCUAGUGAUUUCUUAGGUAGUAUGGGUAACAUCAGCUUUGCAUUUAACCGUUCCUUCUUUCUGUGCUUGCAGCAGGCAAUACAGAGCCAUGAGUUAUGCUUUUCUUGGAGCGGCCUUGUUUGUCCAUUUGUGUCAAGGUUCCUUUAGUUCAGGCUUUUAUGAGUACAGAAAUUUUCAUUUCUCAACCAAAAUAGGUUUUUUUUUUUUUUCACCAGUGUUUGUUUAUUCUGGUGCCAUUUUUAGUUUUUUAGUACAGAUGCUUAUGUUCUUUGACCAUCCAACUGAUGAGGCCCUGGUGAUUGAUGGUUAUAGACACCUGAUUAAGUACUUGAAGUCAGUUCUGGAUAUUUCGAUAGCCCCAUAAGUGCGCCUCUUUUUAGUGUUCUCGCUGCUUAUUUUCUCUGCUGCCGUUGCCGUUUCUUCUGUUUAUCACACAAGCUUGAUUUUGUUUGUCGGAUGGAUGUGUGGUAACAGUUUAAGAGGAUUAGAUUUGGAAAUGGAAGUUUCAAAGGUUGGUGUCCAGUAUGCGUUUGUGUGCACCUGGUUUCUUGCCAUUUUGGUGCUUGCACUACAAUGUGGAUAUUGUCUUGCUGCGACAGAAAGGGGGUUUCGAAUCUUGUCUCUGGCAUUUUUCCGAGUGAUUUCUUAGGUUGUAUGGGUUACAUCAGCUUUGCAUUUAACCAUUCCUUUUUUUCUGUGCUUGCAGCAGCCAUUACAGAGCCAUGAAUUAUGCUUUUCAUGGAGCGGCCUUGUUUGUCCAUUUGUGUCAAGGUUCCUUUUGUUCAGGCUUUUAUGAGUACAGAAAUUUUCGUUUCUCAACCAAAAUAGUUUUUUUCCCCACUGGUGUUUGUUUGUUCUGGUGCCAUUUUUAGUAUUAAGUACAGAUGCUUAUGUUCUUUCACCAUCCAACUCAUGAGGCCCUGGUGGUUGAUGGUUAUGGACACCUGAUUAAGUACUUGAAGUCAGUUCUGGAUAUUUCGAUAGCCCCCGUAAAGUGCUCCGCUCUUUUGGUGUUCUCGCUGCUUAUUUUCUCUGCUGCUGUUUUUUCUGUUUAUCACGCAAGCUUGAUUUUGUUUGUUGGACGGAUGUGUGGUAACAGUUGAGAGGAUUAGAUUUGGAAAUUUCAAUGGUUGGUUUCCAGUAUGCUUGUGUGUGCACCCUAUUUCUUGCCUUUUUGGUGCUUGCGCUACAAUCUGGAUAUUGUCUUUGCUGCGACAAAAAGGGGGUUUCAAAUCUUGUCUCUGGCAUUUUUCCUAGUGAUUUCUUAGGUAGCAUGGGUUACAUCAGCUUUGCACUUAACUCUUCCCUUCUUUCUGUGCUUGCAACAGCCAUUGGGUCUUACAGAGCAUUCUUUUCAUGGAGCAGCCUUGUUUGUCCAUUUGUGUUGAGGUUCCUUUAGUUUAGGCUGAGUACAGAAAUUUUCAUUCUCAAAUAAAAUAGUUUUCUCUCUAGUGUUUGUUGUGUUCUGCUGCCAUUUUUAGUGUUUAGUUUCUUGCUAGUGUUUGUUGUGUUCUGCUGCCAAUUUUAGUGUUUAGUCCAGAUGCUUAUGUUCUUUGACGAUCCAACUAAUGAGGCCUUGGUGGUUGCUUAUGGACCUGAUUAAGUACUCUAAGUCAGUUCCGGAUAUUUCGAUAGACCCGUAAAGUGCCUCUCUUUUGGUGUUCCCGCUGCUUAUUUUCUCUGCUGCUGUAUUCUUCUGUUUAUCAGGCUAGCUUGAUUUUGUUUAUUGGAUGGAUUUGCCGGUAACAGUUGAGGUUUAGAUUUGGAAAUUUCAAUAUGCAUUCCUCUACACCCUGUUCCUUGCCAUUUUGGUUCUUGUACUCCAAUCUGGAUAUUGUCAGGAUUCGACAAAAAAGGGGGUUUUCAACCUGGCUCUUGCAUAUCUAGUGAUAUCUGAGGUGAUAUGGGUUUCAUCAGCUUUGCACUUAACUGUUCCCUUCUUUCUGUGCUUGCAGCCAUGAGCAGUGACACCUACUUUUCGUGGAGUGGUCAUGCUUUUCUAUUUGAGCUAAGGUUCUUUAGUUCAGUGUUUUAUGAGUAUCGAGAUUUUCAUUCAGUUCUCUUUCCUAAUGGUCCCUGUUGUCUUUGUUGAAAGUUGAAACUACAGUUGUAUUGAAGUUUCUCAAAGAUAUUUUUUACCAGUGUGUUAUAUUCUGCUGCGAUGAAGUUUUAACUCCAGAUGCUUAUGUUCUUCGAUGCUCCAACUGCUGAGGUGUCUCCUAUGGUUAUGUACACCUGAUAAGCAAGUCAAUUUGGAUCCUUUGAUAGCGGUGUUCCUCUACCUUUGGUCUUCUAGCUACUUAUCUAUGUUUUUUGUUGGUUAUCACGCCACUUGUCUGCUCUUUUUUGUUGGAUGGAUGUGUAGAUCAUAUGGUGACAGUAACAGAGGUUAAGAUUUGGAAAUUUCGAAGGUUGGUAUCUAGUAUGCGUUCCUCUGCACCCUCUUGGUCUUUUUGGUGCUUGCACUGCAAUCUUGAUUUGCCUGGGCUUCGACAAAAAUGGGGUUUCCAAUCUUGUCUAUGGCACCUCUAGUAUUUUCUUAAGUAGUUUGUGUUUCAUCAGCUUUGCACCUUACUGUUCCCUUCUUUCUGUGCUUGCAGCCAUUGGGUUUUACAGAGCAGUGAAUUACCCCUUUUUGGAACGGCCUUGUUUGUACAUUUGUGUUGAGGUUUCUUUAGUUCAGUCUUUUAUUAGCAUCGAGAUUUUCAAUUCUGUUUUCUUGGCUAAAAGCUCCCUUUUCUCUUUGUCAAACUACUGUUGUGUGGAGGUUUAACCGAGGUAAUAUUUUUCACCAGUGUGUCGUAUUCUGCUGCCAUGAGGUUCUUAGUCCAGAUGCUUAUGUUCUUCGAUGAUCCAACUGAUGUUGUCUCUUAUGGUUAUGGACAGCUGGUAGCGCUGUAAAGUGCUCCUCCACUUUUGGUCUUCUAGCCUAUUUAUGUUCUUUGCUUCUAGUUUCUUUUAGUGAUCCUUGCUGCUUAUUUUCUCUGCUUCCGUUUUCUUCUGUGUAUCACAUGAGCUUGAUUUUGUUUGUUGGGUGGAUGUGUGGUAACAGUCAAGAGGAUUAGAUUUGGAAAUUUCAAAGGUUGGUGUCCGGUGGGCAUUCCUGUGCACCCUGUUUAUUGCCAUUUUGGGGCUUGUACUUCAAUCUGGAUAUUGUCAGGCUUCGACAAAAAAAGGGGGUUUUCAAUCUUGUCUCUUGCAUCUCUUGCACCAAAAAAAGGAAGUCUUGCAAUCUUGUCUGGCAUAUCUAGUGAUCUCUCCUAUGUGGCAUGGGUGUUGCCGGCUUUGAACUUAACUGUUCCCUUCCUUUUGUGCUUGCAGUCGUUGUGUCUUUCAGAGCAGUGAAAACUUCCUUUCAUGGAACAUUGUUUGUCUACUGGCAUUGAGGUUUUACUUGGUUCAGGCUUUCUAGAGUAUCUAGAUUUUCAGUUCAGUUUCUUUCCUGAUCAUAGAGAUUCCCUUCUCUUUGUCAAAAUUGCAGUUAUGUUGGAGUUUUCAACUGCAAUAAUUCUUUCUACAAGUGUGUAUAAUGUAUUGUGUGCCAUUUCCUUUUUUUUAGUCCCGCUGCUUGUGUUUUUCAGAUAUUCCAAUUAGUGAGAUCUCUUAUGGGUAUAGACAUCUGAUAAGUACUCACUCAAUUCUGGUCCUCUAUAUUUGGUGUUUUUGCUUCUUAUCUUUCCUGCUUUCGUUUUCUGUUGCUUAUCACACCAGCUUGAGUUUCUCUGUUGGAAGGAUGCGUAUAUACCACUUUGAACAGUAAUGCGGAUUAUAUUUAAAUAUUGUGAGGCUUCAACAAAGGUUCUUUUUGUAAUAUCUUGUCUCUGAUUUGUCUAGUGAUUUCUUAGGUACUACGGGUUUCGCCAGAUUUGUACUUUACUGUUCCAUUCUUUCUAUGCGUGCAGCCAUCGAGUCUUACAGAGCUUUGCAUUCAGCUUUUCACCUUGCUUCCUUGUCUCUGCCCAUUUGUGUUGAGGUUUCUUUUGUUCAGGAUUUUAUGAGUAUGAGUUUUUCAAUCCAGCUUUCUUCCUAAUCAGAGUGGUUCUCUUCUCUCUUUGUCAAAGCCUGCUGUUAUGGGAGUUCUUAGCUAAAAUAGUUCUUCCACUGCGUGCUGCACUGCCAUUUUUAGUUUAGUCCAGAUGCUUAUGUUUUUCUGUGAUCCAACUGAUUAGGUCGAUGUUUGAUGGUGGUUAUGGACACCUGAUAAAUACUCAAAAUUCAAUUCUGGAUAUUUUGAUAGCCCCCGUAAGUCCUACCUAUUUUUGUGUUCUCGCUGCUUAUCUAUUCUGCUUCUGUUAUUUUUUGUGUGUUAUGGCAGCUUGAUUUGUUUGUUGGAUGGAUGCGGCGACAGUCAGAGGAUUCGAUUCAGAUAUUUGCAAGGUUGGUGUCCAGUUUGCAUUCCUGUGCUUCGCGACACGGGGUUUUCUAUCUUGUCUGGGCAUUUUCUAGUGAUUUCCUAUUUUGUUGUGUGGGCUUCGGCAGCUUUGCACUAUAACUGUCCCCUUCGUUAGGUGCUUGCAGCUGUUGGGUCUUACGAGCAGUGAAUCCUUCUUGUCAUGGAGUGGCCUUGUUUGUCAAUUUUGGUUGAGGUUUCUUUAAUUAAUGCUUUUAAAGAUUAUCUAGAUUCAGUUUUCUUCCCUAAUCAGCGUGGUUCCCUUCUCUCUCUGUCAACACUCAACACUGCUGUUGUCCUCGUCUAUUUUUUUUUCCACCAAUGUGUUGUAUCCUGCUGCCAUCUUUAUUUUUUAGUCCAGAUGCUUAUGUUCUUUGGUGGUCCAACUGAUGAUAUUCCUGAUGGUUAUGGACACAUGAUAAGUAAUCUAACUCAAUUAAUUUUGGUUCGAUUGAUUCUGCCUACAUUUGGUGGUCUCUCUUACUUAUUUUCUCUGCUUCCGCUUUCUUUGGUUUAACACACCACUUGAUUUUGUUUGGUUUGAUGGAUGUUUGUAGACCACAUGGUGAUAGUGAUGGAUGGUUUGAUUUGGAAAUUUCAAUGUUUGGUAUUUUGGUCUCACAGUGUCCGUUGAGAGAAAAGGGAGUUUUUCAAUCUUAUCUGGCACCUCUAGCGAUCUCUUGUGUGGUAUGGGUAUUGCGAACUUUGUACUUAACUGCUUCCUUCUUUCUGUGCUUGCAGCCAUCGGGUCUUACGGACCAGUGAAUUCUUUUCAUGGAGCGACCUUGUUUGUUGAGAUUUGUUUGGAGGUUUCUUUAGUUCAGCCGUUUCAUUUCAGUUUUCUUCCCUAAUGGCGCCCUUUUCUCUUUGUCCAACUCCUGUUGUAUGGAGGUUUCUCAACUAAAGAUAAUAUUGUUCACUAGUGUGUGUUGUAUUCUGCUGCCAUGAUGUUUUUAGUCCAGAUGCUUACGUGUUCUUUGAUGAUCGAACUGAUGAGGUCUCUUGUGGUUAUGGACACCUGAUAAGUACUCGCGAUCAUCUUCUGAUAGCGCUGUAAAAUGCUCCUCCACUUUUUGUCUUCUAGCUACUUAUCUUCUCUGCUCUUUUGGUUAUCACGCCACUUGGUUUUUGUUAUAUGGAUGUGUAGACCACAUGGUGUCAGUAAUAGAGGUUAAGAUUUGGAAAUUUCAGAGGUUGGGAUCCAGUGUGCGUUCUCUGCACCCUCUUGGUCUUUUUGGUGCUUGCACUGCAAUCUGGAUGUUGCCAGGCUUCCACAAAAAAGGGGUUUUCAAUCUUGUCCAUGACAUCUCUAGUAAUUUCUUAGGUGGUAUGGGUUUCCUCGGCUUUGCACUUUAACUUUUCCCUUCUUUCCUUUGCUUGCAGCCAUGAGCAGUUAAAGGAGACAUCAUAUUUGUCCAUUUGAGCUGAGGUUUCUUAAGUUCAGUCUUUUAUGAGUAUCGAGAUUUUCAAUUCAGUUCUCUUCCAUAAUGGCUCCCUUUUCUCUUUGAUGAAACAAUUGUUGUUUCGAAGUUUCUCAACUAAGAUAAUAAUUUCACCAGUGUGUGUUGUAUGUUCUGCUGCCGUGAAGUUUUUACUCCAGAUGCUUAUGUUCUUCGAUGAUUCAACCGAUGAGGUCUCUCUUAUGGUUAUGGACACCCGGCAAGUACUCGGUCAAUUUCGGAUUUUUUGAUAGUGACGUAAAGUGUCCUCUACCUUUGGUCUUCUAGCUACUUAUUUUCUCCAUUUUUCUUUUAGUUAUCACGCCAUUUGUCUGUUCCUUUUUGUUGGAUGGAUGUGUAGAUCAUAUGGUGACAGUAACAGAGGUUAAAAUCUGGUAAUUUCAAAGGUUGGUAUCCAGUAUGCAUUCCUCUGCACCCUCUUUUGGUGCUUGCACUGCAAUCUUGAUAUUGUCAAGGCUUCGAUAAUAAGGGGGUAAAAGGGGUUUUUCGAUCUUGUCUAUGGCACCUCUAGUAUUUUCUUAGAUGAUUGGGUUUCAUCAGCUUUGUACUUGACUGUUCCCUUUUUUCUGUGCUUGCAGCCAUUUGGUUUUAUAGAGCAGUGAAUUAUUCCUUUUUGGAGCGGCCCUGUUUGUCCAUUUGUGUUAAGGUGUCUUUAGUUCAGUUUUUAUGAGCAUCGAGAUUUUCAAUUCAGUUUUCUUGCCUGAUAGCUCCUUUUUGUCUUUGUCAAAACUACUGCUGUAUGGUGACAGUUAAGGAUUAAAUUGGGUAUUUGCAAGGUUGGUACCCAGUAUGCUUUCGUGUGCACCAUGUUUCUCGGUCAUUUUGGUGCUUGCACUGCAAUCUGGAUAUUAUUAGGCUUCGAGGGACAGGUUUUUCAAUUUUUUCUGGCAUUUUCUGGGUGGGUUUCGCCAGCUUUGCGCUCAACUGUUCCCUCCUUUCAGUGCUUGCAGUUAGUGGAUUAUAUGAGCAGUGAAUCCUUCUUUUCAUGGAGUGGCCUUGUUUGUUAAUUUUUGUUGAGGUUUCUUUAAUUAAUGUUUUGAAUGAUUAUCUAGAUUUUCAAUUCAGUUUCCUUCCCUAAUAAGAGUGGUUCCCUUCUCUCUCUGUCAACUCCUCAUUUAAAAUUACUUUUUCACUAGUGCGUUGUAUGCCAUAAAUUUUUAAGUCCAGAUGCUUAUGUUCUUUGGUGAUCCAACUGAUGAGAUCCCUCAUGGCUAUGGACACAUGGUAAGUACUCUAACUCAAUUAAUUUGGAUCUUUUGAUAGCCCUGUACAGUAAAACCCUAAAUUGGCGUUCUCACUUCUUAUCUUCUCCGCUUCCGCUUUCUUUUGUUUAACACACCAUUUGAUUUUGUUCGGUUGGAUAGAUGUUUGUAGACCACAUGGUGAUAGUGCUAGAUGGUUUGAUAUUUUGAAGUCUCUGCAUCAAGGAAAGGGAGUUUCCCAAUCUUGUCUGGCACCUCUAAUGAUCUCUCCUUUGGUGUGGGUUUUCCUAACUUUGCACUUAACUACUCCCUUCUUUCUGUUCUUGCAGCCAUUGGGGCUUAUGGACCAGUGAAUUCUUCUUUUCAUGGAGCCGACCUUGUUUGUUGAGUUUUGUUUGGAGGUUUCUUUAGUUCAGUUAUGAUUAUUGAGAUUUCCAAUUCAGUUUUUUCCCUAGUGGCUCCCUUUUCUCUUUGUCCAAUCUAGUUUUUAAUGGAAGUUACUUGACAAAGAUAACAUCGUUCACUAGUGUGUGUUGUAUUCUGCUGCCAUGAAAUUUUCAGUCCAGAUGCUUAUGUUCUUUGAUGAUCCAACUGAUGAGGUAUCUUAUGGUUAUGGACACCUGAUAAGUACUCGCGAUCAUCUUCUGAUAGCGCUGUAAAGUGCUUCUCCACUUUUGGUCUUCUAGCUACUCAUCUUCUUUGCUCUUUUGGUUAUCACGCUACUCGAUUUUUGUUGCAUGGAUGUGUAGACCACAUGGUGAGAAUAAUAGAGGUUAAGUUUUGGAAAUUUCAAAGGUUGGGAUCCAUUAUGGGUUCUCUGAGUCUUUUUGGUGCUUGCACUGCAAUCUGCAUAUUGUGAGGCUUCCACAAAAAGGGGGUUUUCAAUCUUGUCUAUGGCAUCUCUAGUGAUUUUUUAGGUGGUCUGGGUUUCCUCGGCUUUGAACUUAACUGUUCCCUUCUUUCCUUUGCUUGCAGCCAUGAGCAGUGACUAUUUCUUUCCGUGGAGUGAUCAGUUUGUCUACUUGAGCUGAGGUUUCUUUAGUUCAUUCUUUUAUGAGUAUCGAGAUUUUCAUUCAGUUCUCUUUCCUAAUGGUCCCUUUUCACUUUGUUGAAACUACUGUUGUAUUGAAGUUUCUCAGCUAGGAUAAUAUUCUCACCAGUGUGUUAUAUUCUGCUGCGAUGAAGUUUUCACUCCAGAUGCUUAUGUUCUUCGAUGAUUCAACCGAUAAGGUGUCUUGGUAAGUACGGCCAAUUUUGGAUCCUUUGAUAGCGUCGUAAAGUGUCCCUCUACCGUUGGGUCUUCUAGCUACUUAUUUUCUCUAUUUUCUGUUGGUUAUCACGCCACUUGUCUGCUCUUUUUCGUUGGAUGGAUGUGUAGAUCAUAUGGUGACAGUAACAAAGGUUAAGAUUUGGAAAUUUCGAAGGUUGGUAUCCAAUAUGCAUUCCUCUGCACCCUCUUGGUCUUUUUGGUGCUUGCACUGCAAUCUGGAUUUGUCCGUGCUUCGACAAAAAGGGGGGUUUGCAAUCUUGUCUAUGGCACCUCUAGUAUUUUCUUAGGUGGUUUGGGUUUCAUCCCCUUUGCACUUAACUGGUCCCUUGCUUGCAGCCAUUUUGUUUCACACAGCAGUGAAUUACGCUUUUGAGUUCAGUCUUUUAUGAGCAUCGAGAUUUUCAAUUCAAUUUUAUUGGCUAAAUGCUCUUUUUUCUGUUUGUCAAAACUACUGUUGUUUGGAGGUUCAACUGAGAUAAUAUUUUUCACCGGUGUGUUGUAUUCUGCUGCCAUGAGGUUCUUAGUCCCGAUGCUUAUGUUCUUCGAUGAUCCAACUGAUGAGGUCUCUUAUAGUUAUGGACUGCUGAUAAGCACUUGCUCAUUUUCUGACAGCCCUGUAAAGUGCUCCUCCACUUUUGGUCUUCUAGCCUACUUAUCUUCUCUGCUUCCAGUUUCUUUUGGUUAUCAUGCAACUUGGUUUAUUUUUGUUGUAUGGAUGUGUAGACCAUAUGGUGACAGUUAAGAGAGGUUAUGAUUUGGAAAUUUCAGAGGUUGGUGUCCAGUAUGCGUUCCUCCGCACCCUCUUGGUAUUUUUUGUGCUUGCUCUGGUUUCGACGGGAAGGUGGUUUUCCAAUCUAGUUUAUGGCAUCUUUAGUGAUUUCUAGGUGGUUUGGGUUUGGUGAGCUUUGCACUUAACUGUUCCCUUCUUUCUGUGCUUGCAGCCAUGGGUCUCAUAGAGCAGUGAAUUACUCUUUUUAUGGAGCGGGCCUUGUUUGUCCACGUGUGUUGACGUUUCUUUAGUUCAGUCUUCUAUGAGUAUCCAGAUUUUCAGUUCAGUUUUCUUCCCUAAUCAGAGUGCUUCCCUUCUCUUCUUUGUCAAAACUGUUGAUCUAUGGAAGAAGUCAACUUAUGUAGUUCUUUUUUUUUCCGCUUAUGUGUGUUGUGAUCUGCUACCAUGUCUUUUUAGGUUAUGUAGAUUGUAUAUAUUAAAAAAGGAGAAAGCUUAGGACCAAGCUGGUGCUAAGACCUUACAGAAAUUUGUAAUCUCUCUGACAGAAAACACACCAUUUUUAGUUUUUGGUCUUAAGAUACUUGCUUAUGUUCCUUGAUGACCCUGAUGAGGUCCCUAAUGGUUGAUACUUAUGGACAUUUGGUAAGUACUCAUUUUUCGUAGGAAGUGAACUUUAUUUUUCGUAGAAUUGGGUGAGCAUCACCAAAAUUGAAACACUAGAAAAAAUGUUAAAUAUACAGAACAUUAAUGUGUGUCGUAUAAUUUUACUGUGUUUUUUAACCUCACUGUGAUCCUCAGUUCUUUAAAACUAAUAUUUUUCUAUUUCUUUUUAAGUGUUAUUAUGAUGAUAACAUAAUAUUUGAGACAACUUGAUUUUAGUAAAUUUAAUUCUAAUGUGGUUUGUGUUUUAAUCUCCCAAUUGUAGAAGAAUAUAUGGUUAGUGUGUUAAUCUCGCUUCCUUUUAACAUUUUAACUGUAAUUCAUUUCUCCAACUAUGAUCUCUAUUAUACAUGUACUGCCCAUUAUCAAUACUGUGAUAAGUUGUAGUAUUUUUCAUUUAUAUUUGUGUGAUAUUUUCUUUUUCAUUUUGUUUUUCUUAAACGAAACUACCUCCUUUCUCUAACAAGUCAUUUGUCCGCCCUUUUGUGAAGACAUAAACAGUGUUAUCAAAGGCGCGCUUUAAGCCCUGAAGCGAGGCUCAAAACAUGUUGAGCGCUUCGCCUAGCUUUAUGUGCGCUUCAGUGUCGUCAUCAAGGCUCUAAGACAUACUUUUCCUUGCCAAUGAGCCUCUCUUGAGGAGGUGACACUAGAUGAUUGAUAUUUCACUUUAUCUUAAUAUUUUUACAAUUUCUUUGUCCAUAUAUUUGUUAUUCAUGCUUAUUAUUAUUAAUCUUGGAUUAAACAUAUAUAUAUUUGUAUUUUUGCACCAUUGCGCUUUUUUUCAUUAAAGCCCAUGCUUUAUAUGCGCUUCGCGCUUAAAAGCCCCAAUUGACCUUAGAGCUUUUUUCGCGCUUUUCGCUUUUGAUAACACUGGACAUAAAAUGAUAUCAAAUUUGGCAAAAUAAUUAUUGUUGUAACUUAGAAUUUAAGAAAAUAAAUCUUUACUACUCAAAUAUAUAUCCCGUGAAACCCCACAAGUGGGGUCUGGGUUUACUACUCGAAUUUUUGGAUUAUGAAAGUGGUUCACAAGAGAGAUACAAUUUUGGAGCUAUGGUCUUGACUUCGAGUAUUCAACAAAAAGUUCAAUAUAAUAUGUUAUCAACAUUAGAUAGUCAUAGGUCGGUAUCCUUUUCUCGAGUUUAACAAAUAAAAUGAAACGUAUCUACAAUCAAAUUAAGUUUUGAUCAGAACUUAUGCCAAGUUAAGUUACCUUUGCCCCUAAAAAAAAACCCCUCUUAUGCCAAUUUUUUUUUUUUUUUUUAAACUAAAAAAGAGUGAACGUACUGCAGUAGUAACCUCAUCAACUGUUCUUUUUAUAUAAUUGCAUUGUUGAGGUUGGUUGCUUCUUUCUGAAUGUCCAGUCCCUGCUCUUUUUGUUUAUUUUUAUGAGAUCGAGAAUGUAGAACCUUUGAACAUCACGAUGUAAAAUAUAGAUUUUCUUUAAAUCUCACAUUAAGGUUUGGUUUGCAGUCUGAUAUCUUUCUUGAACUAUGUUUCCUUUGCAGUCAUGCGUGGUGGCUAAUGUUACCAAUUUCAAAAAAUUAUGCAGUCCGAAUAACAUUCCUGUGUGCCAAAUGAAUUGGUUAAAUUGUAAGUGAAGGCAUUUAGGCUACUUAAAGAGGAAGACGUAAUAAUUUGCUUAGGUGAUGCUUCUGCCUCUCCUUUGUGGGUAGAGUCAUGAUAUUUUGAAUUCAAAUAUCACAAAGAUAUGUAGGUUAAGUAAUAAAAGAAGAACAGGAAACAAUAUACCUUGGUAGUUUGCUGGUGAAAAUUGUCGAAUUUAUUUUGUUUCAAUAGUAUUACUACUGGUUUGGGUGUUGUAAAAAUUUGAUUCUAUGUUAUAUAUUGUUCUGUGAAUAAUAUAAGAUAAUUUGAUUUCUGGAUAUCAUAUUUAGUUGUUGCAAGGUGCUAUGAAACUGUGGACGAGGGUUUUUGGAAUGCAACUUCUUCAUGGUAUGAAUUUGAUUACUGAUUGGUCAAUGUACAUUCACCCCGUGGGAGAUCUCUUAAAAAGACUAGGACUAAUUACAUCUUACAUUUCUUUUCUGGAGGUAGCAUCUAUGGUUUUUCAAUUUUGUCGUAGAUUUGAAUAGUGAAAAUAGAUGCAAAUCAGUAUGGUUCUGAGGGAAGGAAUUGGACUAUCUAUUCCGUGAAUUUCUCAUAUUUUAUACGUGCGAUACAUGUUCCUUUUUGUGCUCUUAGUAAAGCUCUAAGGUAUUGUUCUGGGCUAGAGCUGUGGCAUUUUUAUUUUUUUGCUGCUAACUUGUCAUUUGAAGUCCUGUUUUGCGCUCUCUAGUGAUGUCCCAAAAGUUUUCUACUUCAUGUGAAUUAAUAUAUGGUAAACGGUAUUUUCUUAACGUGGAUGUUUGUUUCAGUCCAGCUUUUCGAAAUCUGCUGGCUUUUCUUUGGAUGAACUGUCAUAUCAUAAUUCAUGUCUGCUACUGUUCAUUCCUGUCCUGGAAGGGCAAGGGUAUAGUAUAUGUCCUGUUUUGGGGAUUUGAGGUGCAUCACGAACUUAGGCUGGGGGCUUGCUCCACUAAAUAGAUCGUUUAGCUCAGAUAGCUGUGUGUACAAAAGCCUUUUUUUGUGAGGUAAAUAAUCAAACUUAGAAAAGGACAUAAUGCCAUGUGAUUUUUCUAGGAAGUGUAUCCCCUAAGCUUAGGUGCCGUUAAUCAAAUUUUUUGGUCUGAAGGAGUCCUCCAUAUCUGCUGUUGUGGAAGGAUACCCGCACUAAGGAGAUACCUUCAUGUAGAAGAAAUGAAAGAAAGAAGAUGCCCAACUUCUAGGUUUUGCUAGCUCAAUAGACAAGGAAGGGGUGGAAUGGGAAUGUGCUUUUAUUGUAUCUUCAUUUGAGAACCUUCAUGUGGUAUGUGCAACACCCAAUUUGGUAGAUCAGUUGGUAACGUUGGAAGUUAUUACUUCAAUUUACUUUUUAUUUUCUGCAUGUGCUAAAGCAAGGUACUGUAGAUUGAUUUUGUUGCUUUAAACAAGAUCUGAUGAUGUUGAAGUUAUCUUCUUGGCCGUGAGAUUCUGCUUUCUUCUGUUGGUUUUGUGGGUUAGUUCUAUGGUGGUCUUCAAUCUUUGUUUUGUAGGUUUGUGCAGAUUCGCCUUUGCUGGUGGGGGGGGGGGGGGGGGGGGAGCCUAUGCAGUGCCUUAUUAUUUGUUCUAGGCACAAUUAUUGAGUUUGUUCCAGUCUUCAAUUCAAGUUUUGAGAAUUUUCAGGAUAAUGAAACAUUUGCACAGUAUUCUAGCAGAAUGACUUAUUGUCACUGGUGAUGGAACGUAUCCAACAGUGUUCUAGAACAAUGACUUUGAAUCUCUAUUUCGACUCGUGUAAUUUUUUCCUUCAAUAUUUUGAGUUAUAAUGUCACCUAGAAGGCCAUUGCAAAGUCUAAAUUUACAAGUUCAAUGUUUUAUUUGUUUAGCGAUUAAAUUCGUGAAUUUAUCCUAGAUUCUCCCCUAGGUAUUCGUUUCUCACUUUGUAUCCCCAAGUACAGUAGGCCUACAUUCGCUCUCAUCAACAAUUCCAGAAAAUUGUUCCUUCUAACCCAGUCUGUUCUUCCCGUCUCUGUUCCUCUUAUUUUUUUUAAAACCAUCUUAUGUCCAGUUGUUCCUCAGCUCUGUGUCUUGAUUGCAUUUGAGUUAAAGCAUUAUGUUGAGGUCUGUUUUAUUUGACAAUAUGGUCUUAUCUUGUCUUGGCACCGACAAUGGUUCUUGCUUUCCCUUUUGUGGUUUUGGUCUAAUUUUGUACAUUUUUGUUUAGUUGACCCCUGUAACUCCGCCUGUCAAAUCAGCCGGUCCCAAGCCCGGAUUAAGGAGGAGGGAAGGUCUUGAGUGUGCAGUUAGUCUGUCCAUUCAAUGUUGCUCUUUGUCUUGAUUCGGAUGGAACAUGUGCUCCCUAUUUCUGAUACUGUUGGUGUUAUUUUUAUUUAUGUCAUGUCUUACUACUGUCGAAUAUUGGUUAAUCAGGAAUGCUGUGGAUGCUAAAAUGUAAUGUGUUAAGAUGGGUUAGGACCUUGUAUUGGCAAGUUGACAGAGGAUUCAGGCCAGGUGGUCUUGGUUAUCAUGCAAUGGCAAUAUAGAUAUUGCGAUAACAACUUAUUUUCUUGCAUCUUCAGUGAGGACAACUUAUUUUCUUGCAUCUUCAGUGAGGAGAAUUCACCAAGGAUCACAAUCUUUUCUAACAUUUGCUGCGAUUUAUUGAGGAUCCACUUCACACUGGAAAUAUUUUUUCGCUAUUGAUGUAUUUGGUUUCCUACUCAAUAUUCAGCUAGAGGUUAGCCCGGCAGCGUAUAAAUGUGUGUACUCAAGAAUCAUGUGAAUUUCUUUUCUACAUAGUUGAUGACCUGGUGGUACCUUAAAAAACUGUUGAUACUCAUUGCCUGUUUACAGUAUAGUUCUCUUUUAAGGGUAUGCUGUUUGUUAGUAGGUUUUCAUGGAUGCUGCAAACUACAUCUAGAUCAUGUGAGGUUUCAAUGCGAGUGGACUGCCUCCACAGUCUGUUUUCUUUAAUGUCUACUCCAUUCUAUGAUCCACCAUUGCAUUUGAAAAUCAUUCCACCAUUAAUGUCAUGUCUCUUGUUGAGGCAAAAUACUAGCCGAUUUCUUCACAUUUGUCCCAGCUAGUGGCAGAGCCAGAAUUUCCACCGAGGGGGUUUAAAAUAUAAAAAAGUAGACAUACGAAGAAGCUUAAGGGGGUUCAACAUCUACUAUAUAUACAUAAAAAAUAAUUUUAACCUUGUAAAAACAGUGUUUUUUUCCGCCGAGGGGGUUCGGAUGAACACCCUCAGCAUAGUGUGGCUCCACCACUGGUCCCAGCCAUUGUGAAUAGCGCUGGUGAGAGACAGCAGAUAACUUGCCGGAUUAAUCGAGGUGCAUGGAAGUUGGCUCGGAUAUCAAGGGAUGACAAAAAAUACUCUUUAAUAUUCGCUAUUAGCCUAUGAGGUUUCAUGAAUGCUGCAGACUACCUGAAAAUAUAAGUUUGCAGUGGUGAUUAAGCUUUCAUUGGCAAGAUUGUGGAUAUGAUAUUGAUAUCUGUGGUCUGUGCUUGCAGGCCAAAGUCCAAAUUUUCAGCAUGGAGGGAUUUUAGUUGUUUUCAUGUUACUUCUGAUAUCCACGUUUGUAUUGGGAACUUAUUUUGUUAUUGGUGUCUCUAAAUGACUUCCAACUUAAAAUUCAACUAAAUAAUUAGGUUCGUGUUUAGCCAGUCUGCGAAUUGGUGUAUAUUGAAGGAUCUUGUGCAUGGAUGCAACAUAAUUAUUGUUUGCGAUUGCUUGUGUGGGUUUCCAUGGGUGCUGCAGAGCACACUGCACAAUCAAAUGCCAGCUUGCAAUGGUAAUUAACUGCGUGGAUAAUCUCCUGAAAAUGAGGUGUGUGUUUUCAGUGAUGUUGUAGAAAUGUUCAAUUUCAGUAUACGUUGGUGUAUCAAAAAUUGAUAUACAAUGCUGUAGCAAAUGUUAGUCCAUGUGACUUAUUUCCUCAGGGUCCACAGGAGGGUCAACACAUACCUAAGGAAAUUUGGUUGUACCUUCGAGUCUGAUAUUAAUUCAUGUGCUCAAAUUGUAAUUGUAACACUUAGCUGAUUAUUCCUUUCAUGUAGAUAUCUCUUUCAUACUCUCUCAGUUGUGAGUUGAGAGAUAUAAGGAUGCAUUUGUUUCAUACUCUCUGAGUCUCGAGUUGUGGGAUAUAACUUUGUUAGCAUGCCUAUCUGUUUUCAUUAUGCCUAGGAAAUUUCAUAUGGUGUUUCAUCUUCUUUAGGGUAAGCAACUUGAUUAUUCACUCAGUUACCUCCUAAGUUCCAUCACUAGAGAUAUUUUGUAAUUCUCAAUAAAAUUUUAAUAAUAUUUGCAUAAAAAGGAUGUAUUAAUAUGAUGACUUAUAUGUUUUUUUUUUUGGUUAACAUAACAUCAAAAUUGUACCGCUCAUAUCAAUAUCAGGUUUUCAUGGAACCAAACUUAGAUGCAUAUGCGGGUGUUUGAAUGGUGGCUCUAGAUUUCCCUCUAUUAUAUACCUUUUUCUCCCAUCAAGCCUGCAAAAUAUAAAUUUUAGUAUCUAAAUAUUUAUCCCGUUUGCAGUUUUUUUUUUGUUUUGUUUUUUUUUUUUUUGUUUUUUAUAACAUUGGAAAAGAAUAUAACCCACAGACAAAACUAAAAAGAAUAUGAUUUUUUUUUUGUUUUUUUUUGUUUUUUUAUAACAUUGGAAAAGAAUAUAACCCGCAGACAAAACUAAAAAGAAUAUGAUAUAACUUAAUAAGAUCAACCAAUUACACAUAAAAGAAACUGAGUCUAAAUUGAUAUGAAGGUUCAGUGAAAAUUAAGGUGAAAAAAAUAAAGACAGCGAAGAAUGAAAUUGCAAAAGGGAAAACAAUGACAAACCUCAAAUGAGCAGAAAAUCAGUAAAUCAAGACAAUGACCAUGACAGAAAAUUGAGAAAGAAAACUAGAAAAAUGAAGUUGUGGGUUUCAAACUACUUUUACUUGUUCAUAUUAUUUGAUUUGGCAAACCCCUUAAAAAAAUGACAAUUUUACUAUAUUACCCCUUUAUUGUAAAUCAUCUAAACAAUUAAUCAAUUAAACGUACUUUAAGUUUGUGCACACACUAACAAUUCCUUAAAGUUUUCAAUCCUAAAUUAAUGAUAAGCGUAAAGUAGGUAUGAAAUAGUAAAUUAUCUCUUGAUUUUCCAAACUGGACAAGUAAAAGUGGACAUCUAUUUUCUGUAUACUGGACAAGUAACAAUGAAGGAAUUGUUAGUGUAUUUUGGUUUAGUUCUUUUUCUCAUUAACCUUGUGAUUUAUGUGUAUAUAUACUACUAGGAUAGGAUUUUGCUAUUAGAUUUGAUGUUGUUUCACUUGCGAAUUAGAGACUGGUUCUUGAUAUCUUCUUGCGUGUUCGCAGUCGCAGUGUUUGAAUAGUUGACCAUUUGUUGUUAUGAUUCUCUUUGGAAGUUGAGGUGAUUGCCAGUGCUUUGAUCGGUUUGGUUUUGAUUUAUUUCUUGGUUAUCGGUUUGGUUUUGAUUUCUUUCUUGGUUAUCGGUUUGGUUUUGAUUUCUUUCUUGGUUAUCUGUUAUAUACAUAUCCAUAAUCUUGAUUUCCUUGUGUUGGCGGUUUAUUUGUUUCUAUUUGGUUUUCAUUUCUUGACUAUCUGUUAUAUAUGCAUCUCCCUCUACUUCCCUAAUCUUGAUUUCCUUGUGUUGUUAGUUUAUUUGUUUCUUAUUUGGUUUUGAUUUCUUGCCUAUCUCUUAUAUACAUCUCACCCUUCCGUAUCAUGAUUUCCUUCGAUCGUAGUUUAUACGGAGUGUAGGUUUCUGGUCCCAAAAACUUGAUGUGCAAAUUCAAGAAUCCUUGGUGUUAGAAGAUUUAUCCAUGAAUGAGGAACAUCCCAUAGCCCCUUAUGGAAUGUAGCAGUUUGUCCGGUGGAGCGAUCGGCUUGGUUUUGAUUUCUUGGCUAUCUCUUAUAUACAUGCUCUCCCUACCCUCAAUUGUUAGUUUAUUUGUUUUUGACUUUCUUGUGUAUUGUAAUGUGAGUUUCUUAUUGCAGUCCAUUGAUUGAUUUUCAAUGUUAAGAAAUUGAAAGCUGGUGAGAUCCAUUCUAGAUGCAAUUCUGGGAAAAUCAAUCUUUGAUUUCUGGUUUUGGCUGAUUUUGAGUUUCUUGAUGCGAGAUAUUCCCUAUGCGAUUAGUUCUGUGUUCAUGUUUCCACUUGGUGAUCGGAGAUGAUGUUCCUAUGUUAGAGAUCAGGUUCCAGUUAUGCAUUUAAGGGUUAUUCCGUACUUUUGAAAAGCUGUGCUGGUGUCUACUGUUUUGCCACACUCUGAGCUAUCACUGCCCUGAAACCUAGCAAUUUCCUUUUUGUUGAAUCAGAAUACAAAUAGGACUGGAAAUUUUGCCGAUUUGGUUAUAAAAACGGUAUGACUUCGUCAUAUAUUCUCACCUACGUGUCACAAACGGUGCUCAACCAUAGAUUAGAGCUAUCAGUUUGGGUUUGGUAUUAGUCUUUCAUCUUUAUGUUAAUUUAGAUGUUUAUGUUAAUAUUGUUUUAUCCCUCGCAUCGACUUCUUUUACCUUCUUAUUUGGUUCAGUCAUCAUUGAAUUUCAGUCUUAGGUAUGGUGUCAGUUGUCAGCGCGCAAAGUGUUCUACAGGGGUUAGUGUCUUGCUUCAGUGUUUGUGGUCUUUGACUAUAGGUAUUGGAUAUUUCGGUCUCGAAGCUUUGUCAAAACUACUGCUAUGUGGAAGUUCUCAACUAAGAUGAUUCUUUUAACUAUUGUGGAUAGUGUGUUCUGCUACCACUUCUAGUUUAGUUCAGAUGCUUACAUCUUUGAUGGUCCAACUGAUGAGGUCUCUUAUUGUUACGGACACCUGACAAGCUCAAAAGUCAAUUCUGGAUCUUUUAUAGCACCACCGUAGACUGUAGAGGAGCUUUCUUUUGAUUUUCAAGCUACUUAUCAUCCCUCUGCUUCUGUUUUCUUCUGGUUAUCACGCCAGCUUGAUGUUGUUUGUUGGAUGGAUGUGUAGACCACGUGGUGACAGAGGAGUAGAUUAAGAAAUUUCAAAGGUUGGUAUCUGGUAUGCAUUCCUGUGCACCCUGGUUCUUGGUCGUGUUGGUGCUUGGCAAUCUGGAUAUUAUGAGGCUUCAACAAAAAGGCGGUUUUCAAUUUUUUUUUCUCUAACAUGUCUAGUGAUUUCUUAGGUGGUAUGGGUUUCGUCGGAUUUGCACUUAAUUGUUCCCUUCUUUCUGUGCUUGCAGCCAUUGGGUGUUACAGAGCUUUAAAGUCCGCUUUCCACGGAGCGACCUUGGUUUUCCAUUUGUGUUGAGGUUUCUUUAGUUCAGGAUUUUAUGUGUACCAGUUUUUCGAUCCAGUUUUCUUCCCUGAUCAGAGUGGUUGCCUUCUCUCUUUUUCUAAACUGUUGUUGUAUGGAAGCUUUCAGCUAAAACAGGUUUUUUCACUGUGCUGUAUUCCACUACUGUUUUUAGUUUAGUCCAAAUGCUUAGCUUUCAGCUAAAACAGGUUUUUUCACUGUGCUGUAUUCCACUGCUGUUUUUAGUUUAGUCCAAAUGCUUAUGUUCUUAUGUGAUCCAACUGCUGAGGUCCCUUUGAUGGUUGUUAUGGACCCCUGAUAAGUACUCAAAACUCAAUUUUGAUAUUUUGAUAGCCCCAUAAGUGCUCCUCUCUGCUUCUGUUUCCUUUUGUGUAUCGCACCAGUAUGCGUUCCUGUGCACCCUGUUUCUUGGUCUAUUUGGUGCUUGUACUGCAAUCUGGAUAUUGUCAGGCUUCCACAAAAAGGGGGUUUUCAAUCUUGUCCCUGGCAUCUGUAGUGGUUUCUUAGGUGGUUUGAGUCUCAUCAGCUUUGCACUUAACUGUUCCCUUCUUUCUGUGCUUGCAGCCAUGCGGUCUCACAGAGCAGUAAAUUAUUAUUUUCGUAGAGCAGCCUUGUUUGUCCACCUUUUCUUGAGUUCAGGCUUCUUUGAGUACCGAGAUUUUCAAUUCAGUUUUCUUCCCUAAUAAGAGCGGUUCGCUUAUUUCUUUGUCAAAUCUGCUGUUGUCUGGAAUUUCUCAACUAAAGUAGUUUUUUAUUUUUUUAUUUUUUUUAACUAGUUUCUGCUGCAAUUUUUAGCUUUGUCCAGAAGCUUAUGUUUUUCGACGUUCCAACUGAUGGGGGGUCCCUGAUGGUUGAUGGUUAUGGACACCUGAUAAGUACUCAAACUCACUUCUGGAUAUUUUGAUACGUACUCCUCUACUUUCGGUGUUCUUGCUACAUAUCUUCUCUGCUUCCGUUUUCUUUUGUUUAUCACACAAGCUUAUUUUGUUUGUUUGGUUGGACGGAUGUUCGUAGAUCUCAUGAUGAUAGUGAUAGAGCAUUAAAUUUGGGAAUUUUGAAGUUUGGUUUCUUGGCCAUUUUGGUACUCGCACUGCAAUCUGGAUAUUAACAGGGAUCAAGAAAAGGACUUCUCCAAUUCCUAUCUGAUAUCUCUAGUGAUCUCUUGCUCCUGGGUGGUAUGUGUUUUGUGAGCUCUGAACUUUAACAGUUCCCUUCUUUCUGUUCUUGCAGUCGUUGCCUCUUACUCAGAGGCUCAGAGCAGUGAAUUCUUAUGAUAUCUUCUUUUCAUGGAGCGGCCUUGUUUGUCGAUUAUUCAGGUUUCAUUAGUUCAGCUUUUAUAUGUACUGAGAUUUUCAAUUCAUUUUUCUUCCCUAAUCAGCGGCUCCCUUUUCUAUUUGUCAAAGUUACUGUUGUAUGGAUCUCAACUAAGAUAAUAUUUUCCACUAGUGUAUGUUGUGUUCUGCUGUCAUGAAGUUUUUAAUCCAGAUGCAUAUGCUUUCAAUGAUCCAACUGAUGAGAUCCCUGAUGGUUAUGGACACCUGAUGAAGUUCCCAAACUCAAUUUUGGAUCUUUCCGUAAGGUACUCCUCCUUGGUGUUCUUGCUACUUCUCUGCGUCCUUUUUCUUUUGUUUAUCACAACCACUUGAUUUUGUUUGGUUGGUUGGAAGGAUGUAUGUAGACCACACGGUGACAGUGAUAGAGGGAAUACAUUUGGGAGUUUCAGAGUUUGAUAUUCUCUCAGGCUUCGAGAGAAGGGGGUGGUCCAAUCUUGUCUGGCAUCUCUGGUGAUUUCUAUGUGGCAUGGUUUCUUGGCUUUGCACUUGACUGCUCCCUUCUUUAUGUAUGUGCUUGCAGCUGUUGGUCUUUAAGAGUGGUGAUUUCUUCCUUCCAUGGAGCAGCCUUGUUUGUCCAUUAGCGUUGCGGUUUUUUUGUAGUUUGGUUUCUAUGAGUGUCUUCCCUAGUCUCUUUGUCGAAAUUGUUGUUAUAUGGAGUAUCAGCAUGCGUUCCUGAGGUUGGUGUUCAGUAUUCAUUCCUGUGCACGCUGUUUCUUGGUCUUUGGUCUUUUAUUGCAGUCUAAAUGCCAUCAGGCUUCAAGAAAAAAUGGGUUUUCAGUAUUUUCUCUGGAAUCUCUGGUGAUUUCCUGAGUGAUUCGGGUUUUGCCACUUGGUGUGCUUGCAGUUGUUGGACGGUCUUAAAGCAGUGAAUUUCUUCUUUUCAUGGAGAAGCCUUUGGUUUUUCCGGUUUGUGUUGAGGUUUCAGUAGUUCAGGAUUCUAUUUGUAUCAGAUUCUCAAUUCGGUUUUUUUCUCUAAUCAAAGUGAUUUUCUUCUCGCAAUAUUUUCUUUGAAGUGAUGCUCUUCUGGUAGUCAUUUUCUGAAGAAAAUUUAGCAUGCCCUUGGUGGUUUUGUUGCUUGGUCGUUUCCAUUCAAUUUUUGGUUCUUUUAUUAGUUGAUCUAUCUGCAGCCAUAAUCACUCCGUUGCAUAAUUAGAUUUAUGAAACGAAACAAAAUUUUGGGGAGAGGGUGCAACUAUCAUUUUGGGCGUUUAGUUUCUUAGGAGUUCUCUUUGAAUCUUUUUGUGUAAUCAAGUUUCAGUCAGUCCUGUUUCUUCCCGGUGGUCGGCCCCAUCUGCCUGAUUGUUAGAGACGUUAUCUUAAUCAGGUCUGCAUAAUGUGAUUUGAGUUCGUUCUGGUGAUUUUCACAAAAAUGCUACUAGCCUUCUGUUGGAUUCGAUAUCUCUGCUCAGUUUUAUUUACAAUGUGGAGGACCCACAUUAGGGUAGAAGGCUAGUAUAUAAGUCUCGUUAUCUUUCCUUAUUAGUAGGCGCAUUAGCGCAUUAUAAUUUCUUGUGCUCUGAUUUAUGUUAUUAUUCGCUACUUUCUGUACUUUGAUUACUCUAUUUUAUCUGUGCCGCUUUCGUUAUUUGCAUUUCCAUAUCGCUUUGAAUUCCUUGAUUAUCCUGUUUUACUGUGUCGCUUGCAUUAUUUCAUUACAAUAUCGUUUUGAAUCUUUUAACCUUAUCUGACUCCCUUUUUUAUGCUUCUAUUGAGCCGAGGGUCUCUCGGAAACAGCCAUCCUACCUUGGUAGGAGUAAGGUCUGCGUACAUUCUACCCUCCCCAGACCCCAAGAUGUGGGAUUUCACUGGGUUGUUGUUGUUGUUGUUGUAGUCAUCCUGAAUAAGCAUCCCUGUCUGUGGGUGGAGGGGAGCAACUCUAGUUCUUUUUUUCUGCCAGUUGUCCGUCUGGUUCGUUGGGUUUGAUUUUCUCCCGUAUGUAGGUUUCUGCUCUGCAAUCCUUGGUUGUGGCUGUUGAGAGUUUGGGCCGAGGGAUUAUGAGGUUUUUGGCGUUACACAACUAGUCUAGUGUGUUCAUUUUCCUGAUGACCAGAGAUAUUUGAGGUUUUUUCCGUAUCCAUAGAAUAGGUCUGAAUUUUGUUGGUGUAGUUGUAUCAUUAUACCUCAAGAUAUUCGUGAUUAUCUCGUAUUUUUUGGAAUGGUGUUUUGAUGACUUCCACAUUGUUUCAGCUUUGAGCAUGGAGUGAUAGGUCUGGAUUUAGUUUAUUUGCUCUUUUUCUAUUUCAGUCUUGCUUCAGUAUCUUUUUCCUUGGCUUCUUUGUAUGCUUUUUUUGGAGGCUUCUGUUUAGCUGGAUAUUUUUCCAAGUGCAGGCUUAGUGUCAAAGCUAGAUGGGCGAGGGUGUCUGAGGUUUGGCUGCAUGCUAUUUGUUUAUUUGGUCUGCAGUAAACUUUCAUUUCCUAUUGCAGUAGUCCUUGUGUUGGGAAGUUGCGGAGCGGGCUUUUUCUCCAUUGGCCAUGGGUACCAAUGCACUUGUUAUUUGAUGAUGGGAUGGAAGCACUUGCAGAGUCUUCGCAACCAGUGUUGAGUGAUUAUCUACAUUGGGCUUCUCACUUGCAUCUUUGAUAGAUGCGUAAAGUAGUCCUCUAUUUAGUGUUCUAGCUAUCUCAUCUCUCCUGCUUCUGUUUUCUUCUGUAUAUCACACCAGCUUGAUUUUGUUUGUUGAAUGGUAGUAGACCACAUGUGACCAUAAAUAAUAAAGAACUGGAUUCGGAAAGGGCAUAUCCAGUUGUGCGCUUGUGGGCCUUGGUGUUUUCUUUUUGGUACUCAUACUGUGAGGUGGAUCGUGUCAACAUCGAGGAGAAGGGGUCUUUUGGCAUCUUGUGUCUGGCAUUUCUAGUGAUUUCUUCGGUGGUAUGGGUUUUGCCAAUUACAUACUUACCGGGCCCUCUUUCUGUGCUUGCAGUUGCUGGGUCAUAAGCAGUGAAGGAUAUUUUUGUUAUUGUUUUAUUGGGACACUCUGGUUUUGGUUUGUGCGAUUUUUCUUCCUUAUUGCGUUAAGUUGCUCUAAACUAUACCGCUGAGAUGUGAGAUAGUCAAUUCAAUUUCUUUCCGCGCCAUCUUCCUUGUUCAUGUAUAUCAUAAGUUUCUGCAUUGAUCAGUACCCAUCUAUCUCCUGACCUUCAACUGUUAAAUGCUGUUUGGGGCAUGUUGAAGGUAUGUGGAUUCACUGUUUGUCUGUGACGGAAGGUUCUGCAUUGAUCAGCUUCUGACUGGUGAGGACUAUAUCCCUAAGCUUGUCAUUUUAUAUUUAUUGCCACUAUGCAGACUCGGGUCCUAGUCUGCCUGUAAGAGGAUUUUCAAUGGGUUCUAUUUAUCUGCUGCUGCUCAAUAUUAUGUGGGCUUUCUUUCAAAGCAGCUAAAAAAGAAAGCAGCUAAAAAAGGUUAGAAGUGAGCUAUGCGGAUAAUAAAAGAGCAAUUGGGCCGAAUCUGAUAAAACUGGAAGGCCGACAGCACUGGGCCGUAAUUACUCUUUUGAAUUCGACUUAAUUUGUAUUAUUUUGGUCAAAACUCAGUUUUGUGGCACUGCAUAGGUACUAGGACGAGAUGCAACUCGCUCAUAUGUUUUUACCAGAAGGGGGGUGGAUUCAAUUUUCCAUCUGUACAAGCAAUGAAUGAAUGGUAUUACAUUAAGAUAAAUUCAUAAUCCCACUAAGCAUAGAAAAGGAACUUAAUUUGUCAAUUCUCAUGGCAUAUCCGUCAAUUGCAUUAUGAGUAGACAUAGUACAUCAUGCAUGUUACUAAAGGUUUAAUAAUGUGUAAUAUUUCUGAUCAUUAGUCAUUUGUUGGUCCAAGAAGUUGCUGCCAGAACUAGUGGGCUAUGCAACAAAAUAUAUUGAUCCUUGCCCCAGCUGUUGACCAUCCGUCCUAUGUUAUGCAGGAUUUGUUACUGCAGCUGAUCAAGAAUUUCCACUAGUUGAACUACGUCAUAAGACUCCCUAAGAAUGAUACUAAUCAACGACUAUUACAACUUUCAACAUGUAUCUGUCUAGCAGAUUUAUCUUGCUAGAAGGAGCUUUUGGCUUUGCGUAAUAUCCCUACCUUUUUUGUAUGACAUGAACUUUGGCAAAUUCUUGUUUGACAAGGUUUAUCUUGUGGAGAAAAGAUGAAAGUGGAGAAAGGCCAUUCAGUGAAUGAUGUGUUGUUUUCUGUUCAGAUGCCUUGCCACUUGACUUACAUGACGCUUUAGGAUGAUAUGGAAAUUGUUUUGUUGUUAACAUCAGAUUAUGGGUGGUUUUUAAAUCUACCAGCAAGAGGAUAUCUAAUUUAAUGUUUUGUUUAUGCUGGUGAGAGAAAUCUGUGGAACGGAUAAGAAACGAAUUGCCUUGUGUUGUUUCUUCUUUGGCUGUUAUUGUCCUGCAUCGUCGUAGAAUUGAUAUGUCUUCUUAUAUAUACGCAAGCUUGCUUAUUGUCUUUCAGCCAUUCUAUACAUGGCUGGAUAGAAGGCAAAAUCCUUUUCUCUUUGGUGUCAGUUACUACUUCUUGUGGACUAUUCUACAGAUGCCUUUGUUUACUCUGGUGAUGGUAAUUAGCACUGUUAAUCUGGUAGUGGUACUUGACAAGCUAAUCUUUGAUGGGAUCUUCAGUUUUACUUUGGGUCCCUGUCUCUUUCAGUGUGUUUGGGUUUGAGUUUCCUCUCAAGAGGCAUGAUGAAACUUGGUUGGUGUCCCCUUGGAGAUGUUAUUUCAGUCCACAGUCUAUCUCCUUGUUGAGUGCUGUAGUUCGAGACUUCUUAACCUCUCAUAACCUGGAGAGGUAAGUUUGAGUUUUGGUUAAUUGGUCUUUUGUUUUCAGCUCUUUCUUCUCUAAUUCUCACAAUCUAUGAUUCUUUGGUAUUUUGGUUGCUUGACCUAAGUAAAAUUGUGGUUCCUUAAGUUGCCGAAAAGACUAAUUCUCGGUGUUGCAGAUAUUUUGAUGUUCUGCUUAAUUCUCACUUUUGUUGGUUUCUAGAGGCAAUCCAAGGACUUCCCUAUUUAUGUUAUGUCAACUUCUUUCUGAUUCUACACGGUUUAUUGUUGGUAAGGGUAAAGACCGUGCAGUUUGUUUAUUGGAUGUCAACAAGAUUAUUUUUGGACGGAGUAAACAUAAUCUGGUACCUGCGGCAGAUCUUCUUUUCUUGCAUCUGCUCCCCUGGAGAAAAAUUCAGUACAAAUUUCUGGGUCUUGCCUUGUAGAUCAAAAUUGCUCAUGAGCUUUUAAAUAGACUAUCAUUGGGUUGCUGGAGUAGUGGAAUUAAUGUGUUAUCUGCUAUGAGCAAGUAUUAGUUGCACUGAUAUAUUAUAUGUUAUCCACACAAUUGGUUAGGUGAAUUCAGGCACUAAACCUGAGAAGGGACGAGAUUAAGGGGCUUCUAAAAAACAGUCUGAUAUUGGAGCUGUUGCAGUGCUUUUGAUAAUGUUUGACUCAUGUUUUCUAAGCAUAUGUAGUAUUUGCUGAUCUGGAUCUCUUACCUGUAAAAUAGCACUAUGGAUGUGAGAAGAGCUAUACUUUUUUAUGAAGUCGAGGUAGGGUAGGAAUUGGCAUCUUGAGGCAGCCGCGAGGCUUUGGCUUCAGCUCAUCGUGGUAUUUCUUUUUUGUUUGAUAUGGCGACUGAAUUGGAUAUUUCUCAUUUUCCUAAGCUCUAGUUGUCCAAGUUUGUUAGUCAGGAGUUAUCAGCAGAGAGAUGUUGCUAUUGGAGUAACUGUCGCUCCAGAUUUUGUCCUUUUGUUUUUUAAGUCCUUGUAGCUACUUUGAUAGCGCUAGGAUUUUAAGGAACUUUAUUUUUUGCCUAAAGUUCACAAAUUUAGUUCCAUACCAGUGGUUUUUGCUCCUCUCCAUAGGAGGUGAUUAACAUGAGUAGUUGGAGAAUGGGUAAAUGUUAAACAAAAAAAGUUCUGGUCCUGGACAUCUGAAUUUUUGUUUUGACGUUGACCUGUUCUAGUCAUUUUUGCAUGUUCCAAAAGUGUUUACUUAUCUGCUUGGAUAGCAUUACAAGAGCUUCUGGUUUGUUUUGACAUUGACCUUUUCUAGUCAUUUUUGCAUGUUCCAAAAGUGUUGACUUAUCUGCUUGGAUAGCAUUAAAAGAGCUUCUGGUAUGUUUUGUGUGGAGAUGUGUUUAACUACACUUGAAUGCUCUAAGUACUAUCUAAUGCGCUUUCUUCUACGUUGUGUGGUAAUUUGUUGAUCUAUGUGCACCUUGCAGUCUAUGGAGGAUGAGUGUUCUGUUAGGGGCUGAGUGGUGGUGGUUCAAUUUAACUAUGAGCAAGACCUGAAUGCUUCUCAAAAUGAAGAGUCUCCUCUCGCAUGUAUGGAAUCCAGUUGGUGAGGCAGGACUGCGAUUAUAGGUGGUCUAAAGGUAAUAUUGCACCACUAUUUCUUGCUUCAUUGAAUUCGAUGAAGACACACCAGAACCCACGGAAAAAGCAUAUCCAGUAGUGCUCUUCAUAUCGUCAAUGUUUCCUGCCCAAUCACUAUCAACAAAUCCAAGCAAAGCACGUUUUUCGACCGGUCUAGACCAUAUUCCAAGUUGUACAGUACCUUUUAAGUACCUAAGCACUACUUUCCGCAAUUGCAAAAUGAGUGUCGCUGGGACUUUGCAUAAAUCUUGCAAGCAAACUAGCAGCAUACAUUAAAUCAGGUCUUGAAACCUUCAAGUACAAGAGACUUCCAAUCAAACCUCUGCAAAAUGAAGCAUCACACUUUUUGGCUCCAUUUUACUUUGAAAAAUUUGGUAUUCAAAAUCAAUGGUGUAGAAAUUGGUUGCACUUUUGCAUUUGAAUUCUUUCAGCAUCUCCAAAGCAUACUUUUGCUAAUUAAGAAAAAUUUCAGCCUCUGAUUGGUAUACUUCCAGCCCCAAAAUGUACAUCUCUCCCAAAUUUGACAUUUCAAAUUGUUUGUAUUUUUACUUUAAGAUUUUGCAAUUCUUACUCAUCACAGCCUGUAACAAGAAAAUCGUCGUUUAUAAAGCAUCAAUUAAUGAGCUAUCAUUAGUGAAAAUCUUGGUUGCUGAAAUGAGCAUUCGAUUCUAUUGUACCAAGCUCUUGAUGCCUGCUAAGAAAGUAAUCUCUUAAGUAAAGGGUACUAAUAUAAUAGUUCUUUAAAAGGUUCUCUUGGGGUGCUAUGUCAAAAGUGAUGUGAUUCCCGGGGGGGAUCACGAACGAGAUAUAGCACUACACGGCCUAUUUUGAGCUUGAAAGAAGAACUGCUACGCCCCUUUACUUAAGUAAUAUCGUAAGGUUCCCUCUUCAAUCCAUUCAGUGCUUUUUGAAGCUUGUACAGCUAACCUUCACUUCCUUGAACCACAAAAUCUUCCGGGUCGAGCUACAUAAAUCUCCCCUUCUAGAAAAUCGUUUAAGAAAGUAGAUUUGACAUCUAAAUGCUAGAUUUUUCAUUUGAUUUGUGAUGUCCAUGCAAUCAAAAUUUUGAGUGUGUCCAUCCUUGCAACAGGUACAAAAGUAUCCGAGUAAUCAACUCUAGGCUGUUGAGAAUAACAUUUAAUGACCAGCUUUGGUUUGUGCUUGUUGAUAGAUCUAUCUGCAUUCAACUUAACUCUGUACACCCAUUCAACUCUAAUAACUUGUUUAUUAUCAUGUUUGUCAACGAGUUUUUAUGUCUUGUUCUUCUCAAUCAUGGAUAUUUCCUCCAUCGUCGGUUGCUUCUCAUUGGCAUCUUGAAAGUUUGAAGGUUCCGUGACAGCAAGACUACAUCUUAGAUAAAUUUCAGCCAACAUUUUAGUGCCUCUUAAGAGAAAUGUUUUCAUUAUUUUCUGCUUCCGAGUCGUCAUUUGAAUCUUGAAAAACAGGUGCAACAGCCUUCUUUCUGAGUUGAGAUAUAUUCUGUUAAAAGUUGUUUUUAGGCCUGCACCGGAAUUUAGCUUUCAUUUUAAUUUGAAUAAAUAGUAUUUAGGAGUUUGUUAUUUUCAGUAGAUAUUUUGCUGAUCUUUAGGUAUUUGAAGUUAGUAUUCUAUUAUAAAUUGUAGUCUUAGAUUGCAGUGAAGUCAUAUCGAACUUUUGUUAGAAAAAUGCUUAAGAACUACGGUAAGUGUCUGUUUUGUUUUAUGUGUCAUGACGUGUGUUUUCUUCGAACGAGGUCUUCUAGCUCUUCUUGGUAGCCUGAUCGCUGUCUUAGAAUUUUUGAGAUCUUUCUCAAAAAUUCUGCCCCGGUUUCAGGACUUGCUUCGGGUGCCCCUUGUGUGUUUAGUUUCUAUGUUCCCUAAUUCUUAGGAGUUGAUUUUUUUAACUUUAGUUGAGAUCGUAAACUCUGUAAGUCUGUAACUUAUUUAUAGAGUUUCAAAAGAGUUUUGCUUUCAUCAAUAUUCUUUUGUUGGUUUAUCAAAGUUUUGUUCCACCGGUUUAAUAGUAAGUAAAAACAAUUUUUUCUGUUCUUAAUUAUCUGGAAACUCAAAAUUGGUAUUGGAAUUGAAAUUAACAAGGCAAUUUUAUCAAGCAUGGAAGUAGAAUCGAGUUUUUCAAGAAUGGCACCUCCUGUUUUUUAAGGUGGUAGUUAUCAGAUUUGGGCGGUGAGGAUGGAAACAUAUCUAGAUGCCAUGGAUCUGUGGGAGGUAGUCGAAGAGGAUUAUGAAAUUCCUCCGCUGCCUAAUAAUCCACUAUGGCCCGAAUCAAGAACCAUAAAGACAAGAAAACCAGAAAAUCAAAGACAAAGGCCUGUCUAUUUUCAGCACAAUUUUUACUCGAAUUAUGUCUUUAAGAUCAGCCAAAUCCAUCUGGUAUUAUCUCAAGAAAGAAUUCAAAGGGGAUGAAAGGAUUAGAGGUACACAAGUGCUUAAUCUUGUAAAAGAUUUCGAGAUGCAGAAGAUGAAAGAAACCAAAACCAUCAAAGAUUACUCUGAAAAGCUGCUAAACAUAGCCAAUAGGGUAAGAUUGCUUGGUUCUGCUUUCAAUGUCUCUCGUAUUGUUGAAAAAGUUCUGGUAACUGUGCCGGAAAUAUUUGAAGCAACCAUAACCACGUUGGAAAACACCAAGGAUCUGUCCAAGAUUACCUUGGCAGAGUUGUUGAAUGCUUUGCAGGCUCAAGACCAACAAAGGGUUAUGUGAGAACAAGGAAAUACCGAUGGAGCGCAUUGCUAGCCAAAAUCUAGAUGGUGGUAAAACAAAAAGAAAAGAACAAGAAGAAUCAACAAACAGGUGAUGUAGACAUUCCAGCAAGUUCUGUUAAAGGAAAAGCAAAGCAGGAAACUCAAAGAGAAGUUAUCCUCCUUCUAAGCAUUGUGGAAAGAAAGACCAUCCACCAUACAAGUGCUGGAGAAGGCCUGAUGCUAGGUGCAGUAAAUGCAAUCAUCUUGGGCACGAAGAUGUCAUUUGCAAGGAAAAUGGUCAACAACUAGAAGCAUAGCUCAGGUUGUUCACGGAGAGGAGGAAGAUUAAAUCAUUGUUGCUACAUGUUUUUCAAGUAGAUCAUCGAGCGAAUGUUGGAUGAUUGACAGUGGAUACACUAAUCACAUGACAAAUGACAUGGCUCUCUUCAAGGAAUUGAAGCCUACAACCAUUAUUAAAGUCGUAAUAGAUGGCGAACAUCUUCCUAUAAGAGGAAAAGGAAUCAUUGCUAUUCCAAGUCAUUCAGGUACAAUAACAAUUUCUGAUGUGCUUUAUGUACCUGACAGAGAUCAAAACUUGCUUAGUGUUGGUCAAUUGAUGAAAAAGGCUACAAAUUAUUUUUUGAAGAUAAACAUCGCUUGAUCAGGGAUGUUUCAGAUCAAGAACUGUUUUAAAGUAAAAAUGAGAAGCAAACGUUUCUCAUUAGAUCCAUUUGAGGAGGAGCAUGUCUUUUUCAGCCAAAGGAAGUGUUGCAGAAAUAUGGCACAAGAGACUCGGACAUUAUCACUAUGAAGGGUUGCUAAAGAUGAAAAAAGCAAAAAUAGUUGAGGACUUACCUGUUUUGAAAGUGAAUUCUUCAAAUUGUCUUGCUUGUCAAUAUUUUAUGGGAAACAAAGCAGACUUCGAUUUCCAAAGUCAACUUGGAAAUGCUGAACUCCUUUUAAAGCUUGCUUUGGAUUCAAACCAUCAUUAAAUUUUCUUUAGGUGUUUGGAUGCC